Molecule: non-coding RNA, 73 nt
Organism: Potamilus streckersoni
Lineage: Eukaryota; Metazoa; Mollusca; Bivalvia; Unionida; Unionidae
Source: the annotation of a GenBank genome assembly
GCUCUGGUGGCCUAGUGUUUAGAGCGUCUGCCUCUGAUGCGGAAGGUCAUGGUUGCGAUCCCUGGUCAAGUCA